This 495-nucleotide ribosomal RNA is filed under the name uncultured bacterium. RNAcentral describes it as "partial 16S ribosomal RNA". It matches the Rfam family "Bacterial small subunit ribosomal RNA", at positions 28 to 507 of the family's 1533-position model. The record is from RNAcentral.
GACGAACGCUGGCGGCGUGCCUAAUACAUGCAAGUAGAACGCUGAAGGAGGAGCUUGCUUCUCUGGAUGAGUUGCGAACGGGUGAGUAACGCGUAGGUAACCUGCCUGGUAGCGGGGGAUAACUAUUGGAAACGAUAGCUAAUACCGCAUAAGAGUAGAUGUUGCAUGACAUUUGCUUAAAAGGUGCAAUUGCAUCACUACCAGAUGGACCUGCGUUGUAUUAGCUAGUUGGUGAGGUAACGGCUCACCAAGGCAACGAUACAUAGCCGACCUGAGAGGGUGAUCGGCCAAACUGGGACUGGGACACGGCCCAGACUCCUACGGGAGGCAGCAGUAGGGAAUCUUCGGCAAUGGACGGAAGUCUGACCGAGCAACGCCGCGUGAGUGAAGAAGGUUUUCGGAUCGUAAAGCUCUGUUGUAAGAGAAGAACGAGUGUGAGAGUGGAAAGUUCACACUGUGACGGUAUCUUACCAGAAAGGGACGGCUAACUACGUG